RNAcentral lists this ribosomal RNA (552 nucleotides) under uncultured Borreliella sp. Its description in RNAcentral is "bacterial SSU rRNA". It matches the Rfam family "Bacterial small subunit ribosomal RNA", at positions 21 to 567 of the family's 1533-position model. The record is from RNAcentral. Lineage: Bacteria; Pseudomonadati; Spirochaetota; Spirochaetia; Spirochaetales; Borreliaceae.
GGCUUAGAACUAACGCUGGCAGUGCGUCUUAAGCAUGCAAGUCAAACGGGAUGUAGCAAUACAUCUAGUGGCGAACGGGUGAGUAACGCGUGGAUGAUCUACCUAUGAGAUGGGGAUAACUACUAGAAAUAGUAGCUAAUACCGAAUAAAGUUAAUUAAUUUGUUAAUUGAUGAAAGGAAGCCCUUAAAGCUUCGCUUGUAGAUGAGUCUGCGUCUUAUUAGCUAGUUGGUAGGGUAAAUGCCUACCAAGGCGAUGAUAAGUAACCGGCCUGAGAGGGUGAACGGUCACACUGGAACUGAGAUACGGUCCAGACUCCUACGGGAGGCAGCAGCUAAGAAUCUUCCGCAAUGGGCGAAAGCCUGACGGAGCGACACUGCGUGAAUGAAGAAGGUCGAAAGAUUGUAAAAUUCUUUUAUAAAUGAGGAAUAAGCUUUGUAGGAAAUGACAAAGUGAUGACGUUAAUUUAUGAAUAAGCCCUGGCUAAUUACGUGCCAGCAGCCGCGGUAAUACGUAAGGGGCGAGCGUUGUUCGGGAUUAUUGGGCGUAAAGGG